AGCUCACUUCAGAGAUAAAGAUUUACAGCCAAUUCAGCAAAUCAGGAACUCCUUAAAAAGGUUACUUGAUAAAAAAGUGGGCAUAUCCUAUAUUGGAAAGGCCUGUUAGAAGAUGGACAAUGGCACGCUUCACGUACCAACAACGACGUUCCAGAGUUGGACUGCAAGGAAAAUUUUAGAAGUUCAAAUUCAGCAACUUAAUGGCGAUACUGUCACGCCUCUGGCCCA
RNAcentral lists this long non-coding RNA (228 nucleotides) under Elaeis guineensis (African oil palm). Its description in RNAcentral is "long non-coding RNA (EGUI_LNC014879)". The record is from RNAcentral. Lineage: Eukaryota; Viridiplantae; Streptophyta; Magnoliopsida; Arecales; Arecaceae.